Octodon degus (degu) is the source of this 2598-nucleotide long non-coding RNA. RefSeq lists it as uncharacterized. The transcript is spliced from 3 exons. NCBI's taxonomy places the organism in Eukaryota, Metazoa, Chordata, Mammalia, Rodentia, Octodontidae. The record is from RefSeq and is a predicted model, not a curated record.
CUGCACCUCAUCCGGAUCAGUACCUCACAAGUCCGCCUACUGUUCUUGCCUCAAAAGGCUUCCUCCUGUUGCUGUGUCUCUUUUGCCUUGCGAACCUUGCAUUUUGGUGCUGUGACUCGGAUUGCUGGGCGGGAGUGGUUUCCGCCCGAGGUGAGACCCCCCCCCACAAUCGACCCAGUGGCUUGUGGAACACAGCAACUCCUUACAGUGGCCCAGGCUUCUGUCCACGAGACCGGCUUGCAUUUUCCUUAAGGCAACCCCUGACAAUCACUAGCUGACCUCCUGGGACUUGUCACUGACGACUGAAGAGGCUCAGGGCUCCUGACCCCUAUCACACUACCUCUGGAGGAGCCCCAAGUGACCAGUGAAGUCACUGGACUCUAGCCCAAGUGGACCAGACCUUUCCAGGUCCAACUGACCACCCAAAAGUGGCAAUACUCCUCAGGCUGCCUACCUGGAUUCAUCUGACCAGGCUCAAAAAGGCUCCAGCUACAGAUCCUCGUGUGUCCCCUUCCUUGCUGGGUCCUCAUUGGAAAUCACCACCCUCCGUCUCACCUGAAUUCCAGAAGAAGCUUCAGACUGACUUAUGGUGUGUUUUUUUUUUUUUUUUUUUUUUUUUCUGACCUAUGUUUUGUUACCCUCUAUGGUUUUUGAUCUCCUUCCUCCUAUUGGCUCCUGCAUUUGCCAUCAGACUCUGGGUCACUCUCCAAAAGACUUUAAAAUAGGGCUGGGGAUAUAGCUCAUCAGCAUAAGCACCUGUCUGGCAAGUGCAAGGUUCCAAGUUUCAGAAGACUUUAAAAUUCCACAAAAAAUCAUUCUCUUGCUCUCAUACUGGCUGAAGAUCCUUGGACUGACCACUCUCAACUGUCUCUCCUAGACCAACAACAUUCUUUGUCUUCUGGACGUCGCCAGUGCCGUUUUGUCCACUUUUACUCAGAUCUCCUUGAUAUCCAUCCACUGGCUGCCUGCAAACCUUGCCCCCUAUAGCCUUUCAACAUGGAUAAACAACAACUAGCUACAGGGAACUCUCAUGGAUUUCACCCAGGACAAAGUCGCCCUCUUCUCUUUUCUUCUAUGUCUUCUUCUCUGGGCCUCAUAAUCAUUCUACUACAUUCUUCCUCUGCCAUGGCCCCAGCAUCAACUUCUAAUUAUACCUUUACUCUUACUCUGGCUGAUGGGAGCACCAUUGCCUCCGCCAACUUCACACCCCCUCACUCCACUCUCCAACUUACUGUUCCUUACUGCCUGCUCCACCCUUCUGCAAACACCUGGGAUGUGACAUCUAAUGGACGAAAAUUUACCACUUGUUACCAAAAGGGCUUUUAUUUGGCACCCCGCCCCUCUAACCCCCACCAGAAAACAUGUUCCGAUGUUACCCACUUUUAUACCUCCAAGUGGGGAUGCGAAACCAUUGGUCUCUAUCAUGAUGGCAGUUCUUGGAAACAAUCUGACCCUCACAUCAAAGUCUCCUUUUCCAAUGCUCCUAGGACUCCAGACGUUAAAGUACACUUUACUAUCAACAAUGCCUCACAUCCACAGUAUCUUUUAGGAAAAACUUGGGGUCUUGCCUUUUACGAUGGGAUUGGAUCAUACUCAGGAAGAACAGGUAACUUUCUUGUUUUUAGAGUACAGCCAAUGGCCCUGCCCCCUCUUCAUCAACCUCCUGGGAGGACCUACCAUUAAACUUCCUGUCUGCCCACCAGAUGCCAUGCCCUAUUCUGUCCCUCAGCUCUUCUCACAUAUACAACACUUUCCAACUCCUCAAAUUUCACAGAAUGCUGGCUUUGUGCUCCAUACCAAUCACUUAUAUAUGGUUUCCCUUGCACAUGGGAAUGCAUCUUACCUGACCCUCCUUUCACACCCCAAAUCAUUGGCCCUCUCUCUAUAACAUACAUCACUGGCCCACCAAUCUCACUUGCUUUAUCUCUUCCCAAAACUCCUCCCCCACAAUAGAAAAUGUCUCCCAUGGUAACCAAAACAUUAUCUUCAAUGCCUCUCUCACCAUCUGCCCCCAAGGGGCUACUUCACAGGUGGCCACAGAGUGCCUACACUUGCCUCCCUCCCUAUUGGAUGGAAGCCCUACCUUAGUUCUCCUUGUCCCAGCCCUAACCUUAACUUCCCAAGAUACUAUAGAAGCCUAGCAAGUGCAGGGUCCUGAGUUCAAUCCCCGGAACCGCAAAAAAAAAAAAAAAAAAAAAAAAAAGUGCUAUAGAAGUGUACCUUUUAACACAACCAUUGGCCACACACCUUACCAGAAAGACAAGAGCCAUUCAUACUCCUGUUCUUAUCGGCAUGGGCAUCUUUUCUGCCUUUGGAGCUGGACUUGGGGCAGGGGCACCUGGAACUGCAACCUUUCUCUCAAUCUUACCCUCCAGUUGGAGGAGGUGGCCCUAUCUGUUUACCCCUCCAAAAUCAAAUCAAUAGCCUGGCAGCAGCGAUGCUUCAAAGUCUCCACACUGUAGUGCCCUACCCUAUAAAAACUCAGCUUGCUGCACCCCUGGCAUGGUCCGUGCUUCAGAAGAUGGCCUGCCAUUCUUUUUUCUUUCUUUUUUUUCAGAACCAGGGAUUGAACUCAGGCCCUUGUGCUUGCCAGGCACU